RNAcentral lists this ribosomal RNA (253 nucleotides) under uncultured bacterium. RNAcentral describes it as "partial 16S ribosomal RNA". It matches the Rfam family "Bacterial small subunit ribosomal RNA", at positions 524 to 776 of the family's 1533-position model. The record is from RNAcentral.
UACAGAGGGGGCAAGCGUUGUUCGGAAUUACUGGGCGUAAAGGGCGCGUAGGCGGCCGAUCAAGUCAGGCGUGAAAUCCCCAGGCUCAACCUGGGAACUGCGUCCGAUACUGGAUGGCUUGAAUUCGGGAGAGGGAUGCAGAAUUCCAGGUGUAGCGGUGAAAUGCGUAGAUAUCUGGAGGAAUACCGGUGGCGAAGGCGGCAUCCUGGACCGACAUUGACGCUGAUGAGCGAAAGCCAGGGGAGCAAACGGG